Molecule: ribosomal RNA, 2088 nt
Filed under: Triticum aestivum (bread wheat)
Lineage: Eukaryota; Viridiplantae; Streptophyta; Magnoliopsida; Poales; Poaceae
Description: partial small subunit ribosomal RNA
Source: RNAcentral
AUGGUUGCCAUGGGCGCGGACGAGGAGGAGCGGCCCGUGCACCAGGGCUGCAUGGCCGGCUUCCUCCACCUCUUCGACCGCCCGCACGUCCUCUCCGGCAAGCGCCGCCUCUGCCACCACCCCCGCCGCCUCCUCUCCUCCUCCUCCAGCGGGUCGGCGACGCCGUCGGAGAUGUCGAUGCCGCUGGACAGGGCGACGCCGCUGCCGUCUUCGCCCGAGAUGACGCCGCCCGCGGCGCCGAGGCCGUCGCUCCAGCUCCCGCCGCUGGACCUGAAGGACAGGGGUGGCGCGGCCGCGUCCUGGAGGCUGCCGCGCCUGUCGCUCGACAGCCGCGCGGUGGUCGACGCCAGGGGGAAGCUCCGGCAGCGGGACAACAUCAGAACGGCGGCGCCACCGUCCCCUGGCGUGGCGGGCUCGCCCAGCGUUGUCGCGCGGCUCAUGGGUCUCGACGCGCUGCCGCACGGUGCCGCGGAUGAGGAGGACGGCCAGCACGCGGCUCGGGGUGGCGAGCUCAGGCGGUCCGCGUCCGAGCGAGUGCCGCGCGACCCGGCCCGCUUCCGGUUCGUCGACCCGUCUUUCUUCGAGAAGCCGGCGCUGCUUCCGCAGAGGCCGUCGUCCCCGACGGCAGAGGCGGCGCUGGCACAGCGGCAGUCGCCGGAUCCGGCUUUCCACAGGGCGGCGGCGCUGCAGAGGCGCAGCAGCCACUUCGACGCGCGCGAGGUGUUCCCUGAGCCGGCGAAGCGCGUCGACCCGAGCGCCGGGCGCGGCGAGAUCGCGCUCUGCGGCGAGAUCGACCGGCGCCUCCGCAAGCGUGGCAUCGCCGAGCCGGCCAGAGAUCUCGAGACGCUCAAGCAAAUCCUGGAAGCCCUCCAGCUCAAAGGCCUCCUCCGCCACAGCACGCCACCGCCGCCAUUGUCCGUGCGCAACCAUCCGCCUCCCAUCGUCGUCAUGCGCCCGUCCUCCCGGCCGCCGCAGCCUCCAACUUCGCCCACGAGGCGAUUACGUGUCCAAGUCGACAAUGCCCGCCGCCCGCGUUCUCCUGACCGGGCGGCGUCCCCCGCACGGAGCCCGGCCUCCCCGGCGCGACGCGGCCCGCAGUCCCCUCAGCGCCUCGUCUCUCCGGACAAGCGCCACCAGCCCCUCAAGAAACCGAGCAACGCUGAUCUCCCAAGCAUCCGCCCCCGCAUUGCCCGCCACGCUGCUCAUCAUCUAUCUCCCGACGACGACGCGUCGACCAUCUUCUCGGACGGCGGCAGCAGUAGCUCUGUCAGUGCCAGCGCCAGCGCCUCCUCCCGCUGGGACCUCGAGCAGCGGCAGCGGGCACGUCUGGUGGACGACCCGAGAACGGACCGCGGCCUGCUGGAGCGCUGCGACAAGCUGCUGAGCAGCAUCGAGGCGUUCACCGGCGCCGGCGACGCGGCCGGCGACCAGCAGCCGAGCCCGGUGUCGGUGCUCGACGCGGCGACGUUCCUCGCCGACGAGGACUCGCCGUCGUCGUCGGGGUCGAAGCGGGGGAUGGGCCGGAGAGCCCCGAGCCCCCGGCCGGCAUUCUCUCUGUCCUUUCCCGAGGACGACGACGAGGUGGUCCCCGAAGCGUGGCUGGUUGGACCGGAGGCCAGUGACCCCGACUUCGCCUACGUGGCAGAAGUAGUCUGUUUGUCGGACCGGAUGAGGAGCCCGAAUGACGUGUACCGCACGGUGGAGAAGAGGCGCCGGCGUGGUGAGGACACGUGGCAGCACCGCAGGCUGCUCUGCGGCGCGGCGGCGGAGGCUCUGGACCGGUGGCGGUGCGCCCACCCGUCGGAGCCCGUCGCGUGGCUCCGCGGCGAGGACCUCCUGCGCCACGUCUGGGCGGAGGUCCAGUGCGCCAUGGAGCCGGCUGCGGUGGCCGACGAUCUGAACGACCAAACUAGUGAAGCCAUCCUGCGCGACCUGGCGGCGGACCGGCGGUGGUCGCCGAGCGCCGAGGCGGCGGACACGGUGCUGCAGAUCGAGCGGCUGCUGUUCAAGGACCUGGUGGCCGACGCCAUCUGUGAGCUCGCCGAGGCCGACCGCCUCCGCCUCCCGCGCCGGAAGCUGGUCUUCUGA